UUGACCUCGGAUCAGGUAGGGAUGCCCGCUGAACUUAA
This 38-nucleotide ribosomal RNA is filed under the name Exserohilum rostratum. RNAcentral describes it as "partial 28S ribosomal RNA". The record is from RNAcentral. Lineage: Eukaryota; Fungi; Ascomycota; Dothideomycetes; Pleosporales; Pleosporaceae.